GGGAGGUAGUGACAAGAAAUAACAAUACAGGGCUUUCGUCUUGUAAUUGGAAUGAUGGUGAUGUACAACCUCACCAGAGUACCAAUUGGAGGGCAAGUCUGGUGCCAGCAGCCGCGGUAAUUCCAGCUCCAAUAGCGUAUAUUAAACUUGUUGCAGUUAAAAAGCUCGUAGUUGUAUUUCAGCCUCGCGUUUUUUCCCUCUUUUCGGGUCUUUUCGCUGGCUUUUUUUUUACUUUGAGAAAAUUAGAGUGUUUCAAGCAGACUUUUGUCUUGAAUACUUCAGCAUGGAAUAAUAGAGUAGGACCUUGGUUCUAUUUUGUUGGUUUCGAGCCUUGGUAAUGGUUAAUAGGAACGGUUGGGGG
Molecule: ribosomal RNA, 361 nt
Filed under: Babesia bigemina
Lineage: Eukaryota; Apicomplexa; Aconoidasida; Piroplasmida; Babesiidae
Description: partial small subunit ribosomal RNA
Rfam family: Eukaryotic small subunit ribosomal RNA
Source: RNAcentral